UGGAUUUCUUGUUUUGAUUUUUUUUUAUUCAUUUCUAUUGGACGCCAUCCAAAAAUACUAGAAGAAUGACAUUUAGUCUCUUAGCCACAUUCAAAGGUGUUUAGUGUAAAUUUCUGGGAGUAAGAUCAAUGUCAGAACCAACCAACACAGAUAGUAGCAUUGUGAAUAAGCUGAAAACAUGACACUCGGGGUUUUGAAAAUAUUUUUUCCUGCAACAGAGACAUGUAAUUGCUGUAUGUACAUACUACUCCUUUCUGAUGUCAGUAGCUGUUGCUUUGAGAUGCCAAAAUUUGUCCGCAUUUUCUAGCUGAAAAAUAAAGAAUGGAAACCCAAUGCUGCUUGAUGUGAGUAGGUGCAAUUUGUACUAGAAAAAGCUCGAAGUUAUGAGAUUGGUAGGUAAGGGCCAGGUACUCAUGUUCAGAUGCUCAGCUCCAUGCUAAACAAAAGCUUCAAGUUUUCAAAAAAACAAAACAAAACAAACAACAAUACACCAACAAAAAAAAAAAAAACAGUCUUAUCUAUUUAGGCUAACUCCUAAAAACAAAAUUUUAAACAGCAAAUUUCAGCUUAUUCUUCAAUAUAUGAGAAUUGCUCUGAAGGUAAUGACUCCUAUCUUAUGAUGUUGGCCCACAAUGGAAAAAAAAAAAAAAAAAAAAAAAGGCAUCCACUGACAUUUGCUGAUGCUUACUGAAUGUUUAUGGUGGCCAAACAAUGGUGGUGCGGUGGUGCAUUUUAGCAGUGGCAACAGCAACAUGAAAGAUAAGCCACGUUCCAGUUACAUGGAUUUUCACAAGCACAGCAUCCAGACUCUUGUUCAUUACUGGCAAAAAUGCAUAGCUUACAGUGGUAUCUAUUUUGAGAAAUAGUGUUUUAUAGCUGAGAAUUUUCUCUACUGAAUAGUUUUACUGUGCUCUUUGUAUCUGUUGUAGUUUCCAUGGAAAUAAAUAGGAGGCAUUACUUGUGGAGUGUCCUACGUACAUACACCAUUUAAAUUAGAAAUACAGAAAAAAAAACCAACAGAUAAUUCAGUUUCAGGAUAACCACACUUUGCCAUUGUGGUUAUUACAAUUCAGAAAUAAUUGUGCUUGCUUUUGUCUGCCCCUUCACCCCUUUCAGCUGUGUCUUCUAUGACCACUCAAUUUGAAAAUGCUACAUUCUGGUACAUUAUCUGAGGAACAAAAAUACUUUAUCUGGGCUUACUGCUUUUAUUCAACACCCAGAACAAUCUAUGUCUAUUCCUUUAAGCUCCUUGGGAUGUGAAAAAAUAUGGUUACAUAAAUCUUUGUAAUCCUGAGGGGAGGAUAGCAUAUAAAGAGUUUACUGGCGUUAGGAUUAAGUCUAGUGUAUUACAAUGCAAUCUUUAAUCUGCUAAAAUCUACCUUGGUGUUGCAAGCUGUUUUGUGCUUGUAGAUGAAGUUUUGGAAAUAGGACACAGCUGGCAACACUGAUAGAACACCUUAAAAAAGGAAGAAAAGAAAGAAAAAAGACAAAAUUGGUGAAUCUACUAAUGAACAGAUUUGCCACUGCUCCUUGUACAGUGGACUCUUAUGAGUCUAAAAAAUGACAGAUGAUGGAGGAAAUCCUUGUAACUGAAGCUAGGAAGAAACAGUCACUAAAGUUGAAAACACCGCCAUAGUCACCACAGAAAAUCACAAAUGUGAAGCAAAACCCAUGUAACAUUGCCGUGCAAGCUGCAAGAGUCUUACUUGGUUUUGAGAUUCAUCAAUCCAAAUGAAUGUAACAAAUGAGUCUUAGGUACCUAAGAAAAAUGAAAAAUUCCUCAUGCUGAAAGAGACUUUGUUCUCUUUUGAUAAAUCUGUAUGAAAUGAUAACAUUGUUGCAGUCAUGUGCUACUUCAGAGAAAAAAAAUGGGGAAAAUGGCUAUUUUUAGGCAUUUUUCUAAAGAACACCACAGUUCUACUAUUUGAACUUGUCUAUUCCCAGUCAAACAUUUUCCUGUCAAGCUACACAUGACUUCUGAGUUUAAAGAUUCAAAACCAAUGUAGAUGAGCAAUUAAUGCAUAGGCCUAACUGGGAGAGAGGCUGGGGCACAGGUUUCUAGCUCUGCAGCCUUGGCUAAAGCAUUUUUUGGGCACAGCUAUGUGCUCAGGAAAGAAAACAAAAUAUAAAGAUUUGCUUAAGAGCUACUGUGACCUAUGACAGUUAAAUAUCAGAUUAAAUGAAAAUCUAAUUAGGGCCUUAGGUAUUAAAUACAGUUGACCAAGGGAAGCCAAUUGAUGUUGUCUAUUUUGGAUUUGCGUAAAGCUUCAGAUACUCUUUCUCUCAGUAUCCUUCUGGUCAAAAUGUCCAGCACACAGCUAGACAAAAAAACAUAAAGCAAUGGAUGAGCAACUGGCUGAUGGUAUGGGUUGAAGAGUUAUGUAUAAUAAGCUACAGUAAAUGGGUUUACAUCAGGCUAGCCAGCCACUAGUGGGGUUCCUCAGGGCUCCAUUAUAGGGCCACUUCGCUUUAAUGUUUCCAUAAAUGACUUGGAUGUAGGACUAGAAGGUGUUUUGAGCAAGUUUGCUGGUGACACUAAAUUGAGAGGAGCUGCUCACUCCAUCACAGGUGGCAAGGCCUUGCAGAGAGGUCUAGACAAAUGAGAGAGCUGUGCAGCCACCAACUGCAUGAAGAGCAAGUGCCAGAUUCUGCACUUGGGAAGGGGCAAACCUGGCUAUACAUACAAACUGGGGGAUGAGAUGGUGAAGAGCAGACCAGCUGAAAUCUGUUCUGGUCAUGGUUGACAGCAAGUUUAGCAUCAGUCAGCAGUGUGCCCAGGUGGACAGGAAGGCCAAUUGUAUCCUGGGAUGCAUCAAGCAUGGUCAAGGGAAUGGAUUGCCCCACUCUACAUGGCCCUGGUGCAGCCUCACCUUGAAUACUGGGUGCAGUUUGAGGCACUACACCACAAAAAGGACAUAAAACUAAUAAAAAGUACCCAAAGGAGGGCUAAAAAUAUGGUGACAAGUCUAGAUGGGAAGAGAUAUGAGGAGCAGCUGAAGUCCCCCGGUUUGUUCAGCCCAGAGUAGAGAAUGAGGAGAAACCUCAUUGCAGCCUAUUGCUUCCUCACAAGGGGGAAUGGAAGAGCAGGUGCUAAUCUCUGCUCUCUGGUGACAGGAACAGGACCAGAGGGAGUAGCACGGAGCUACAUCAGGGAAAGGUCAGAUUGAUUGUCAAGAAAAUGUUCUUCAACAAGAGGUUAACAGGCACUGGAAAAGGCUCCCCAUGGAAGUGUAAUGACAUUGAGUUUGCCAGAGUUCAGUAAGCAUCUGGAAAAUGCUCUCAGUCCUAUGAUCUGAUUUUUGGGUAGUCCUCUGUGAAUCCAGGGGUUGGACUCAAUGAUCAUUAUGGGUCUCUUCCAACUUGGGAUAUUCUGUGAUUCUAUACUGUAUCUGAAAAAAGAGAGUUCAUGUGGGCCUUUUCCAUAGCUGAGAGCCCUAUAGGAACCUCACAUAGUGCAUCAAAAAAUAAAUAAUUAAGGUUUUCCCUUAAGCUCUUAAGUGAUAUUCAAAUUCUGAAACUGAAAACUACUGUUUCGAACAAUUCAAAGUCUGAACAAAUUAUUAGACAUCAGCAUAAAAUUCUGUACUUUCCUGGAAUGCUGCCAGGGUGUUGAGUUUUUUUUUUACUUUUUGUUUUGUUUAAUGGAGAUGCAUAUUUUUCUACAGCUAGGGUUGUUCCAUCUGCCCUUGUCAAGCUUCAAAUAUACUAGAGCUCGUUAGAGCUAAAUAUAAGCCUUAAUACACAGACUUAUGUUUAUCUUAUAAAAUUAUGCAAAUUAUCCUGCACAUAAACUGAUAUUUAUCAGUAUUUCUGUUAGAUAAGUUAAGCUUUAAGCAAAAUAGUUCCAGUCUUAGAAGGAAGCUUUAGCAGAAAGGAGUCGUGAGACUUCAGAAUCUACAAGAUUGUAAAGUAGUAGCUUUUCCUUCUUAUUUACUAGUUUGCAUUUCCAAAGCACUACACAAUCGUGAACAAAUUAAUCUAAGGCAUUACAGUGAAUUUUACAGAUAAGGACAUUAAAAGCCUUUAGCAAAUGUUUAAUUGAAAUAACUGCCAUACGUUAAUUCCAAGAAACUUGUUUCAGUAUCAGAAAGAUUUAGCAAACAUCUAGUGAGAGUGAACUCAAUAUGCCCCAGUGCAGAGAAUCUCACAUGCACUACUCUUCUCCCUCAGCUAGAAAGAACUGCUUUGAAAUGACAUCUUAAGAGUAAAUGAGGAGCACACUAAGAAUGGAAAGAAAUUAAUAAUACACAAGCCUAUGGAAUAGACAGAGCAUGUGCAGAAACCAUAUUCUUUAUGGCUGCCCCUUAGGCAACAGCACAGCUUUGCAUGGAGAAAAAGCUUUCACUUCGUCCUCACAGUAGUUCUGAAUCUAACUUCCAAAUCAAAGGAUUUGUACUCCUUUAAGCAAGAGUGACUGUCACCCCCUCCAGAAUGGUAAGUUAAUUCUAAUCACUCAGUAAAAUCUGGCAGAGGAUAGCCUGUGGUGAACUCAAAGGUUUUCUCACAGAACUGUGUUUUAAUGUAAAGCAUCACCGCUUCUGCAUUCUGUCAUCUGCCAAUGGGAAUCCAAUUGCUUCAGGAUCCCUACUAAACACCACUGUCAUAAAAUAAACUUUUAUAUUAAACUUCUGUUCCUGUGCAGUCAUUUUUGUACAAAGUGUCUGGCAUUUAACCAAUUGGUCUUUUCCUGGGUAAAGGUCAUAGAGAAAGAAGGAGGAUGUGAUCCUUCACAUCCAAUUAUCCACAUCUCGAGACAUGUUAUACUGGAAGAUUUUUGCCACAUCUCAUCUAUUAGGAUAACCCUUUCCCUAGCACAAUACAAAACUGUUGUGUUUCUGGAACUGAUAUCCAAUAGUGAUUUCAGUAGAGAAGAGUUGAUGGAAAAAAAAUUAAAUCUACUAGGAAAAAUAGGUCUUCACAUUUCACAAUAACAUGCAUAUUGCUUAUUAGCAGGCAUUUAGGUCAUAUAUGCACAGAGAGUCUAGCAGUCCAGCCGUGUGACUAUCCAGCCAGAAGCACACCAUCAGUUGGGUGGGCAGACACAAGAACGCUUGCACAUCCUCUGUCAGCCUGGUUUGUUUCCAUAGAUGACUUUUUAAGAAAUGUCUCUUAACUGAUACUUUUGGCUUCCUAUGCAUGACAAGGUUAUGUUUGAUAAGUGCAUAAAUACACUACGGUAUUUUAGAUUUCUUGCUUACCCAGUUUUGGGGGACAAAAGAUCUUUGAGUAAAAAAGAAUCUGGGAUAUUUUGAGAAUAUUCUCCAAGGGGGAGAAAAAGGAAGGCAGGUGGCAGAGUGAGAGCUAGAAAGGAGAGAGCAGAAGGGUGAAUAAUAUUAUAUUACUAAUGAAUGAUGGCCUGCUGGUGUGAACUUGAAGUGUUUUAAGAUCCACCCCAUCAAAGCUGAGAUUACCUGAAAAAUAUUUUCCUGAAUCUCUAAAAUAUUCUCAAAGUUUUGUAUUUGCCUCUCAUUCUUCAGGGUAACAUCCUCAAUUUUGGAUUAAAAGUAAAGUAUUUAAUCCUGGAACUGUUGUUUAUUCAGGCAACAAGCUGAAUUUCAGUCUUAUAUUGGUUCUUCUUAAAUAAACAUAGAUGUAUACCUGGAAUACUGAAGAUAUAUCUUGCAAAACAAUGAAUGAUAAUAAACAAUGAUAUGCUAUGAUGAUAAACAGUGAAACUGCUUAGAUAGUAAAUAGGUGGCAUUCCUAAAAGAAGUAAAGCUAGACAUGGACCAGCUUUUGCUUCUUCCUAUAUAUCUGCCCUUAAUAUUUGUGGACUUUUUGUUAUACGUGAAUUUAAUGAGUGUCAUUCUGCACAUUUACUAAGUAAGGCAACAGGCACUGUGCAUAUUGGUCUGUGCUCAGAUAAAAUUUCAGUUAAAACAUAUAUAUGAAUAACCAAAUAUACUCACUACAAGAGCACAUUAAAAAAUGGAAAACAAAAAAACACUCUGUUGAAUACUGUCUGGCUCUGUUUUGUGAAGGCCUUCCCAAAUCCUCUCCUAUCUUCACAAAAUCAGGAUAGCAUAUUCUCUUAUGUCUUAGCAAAAUAAAAAUGAUACCUGGCAUUUCAUCUGCUUAGUUGGCUCUGCUGUUAAGGGAUUUAAUUCCUCUCAGCAGAUAUACAAAUGAGAACAUUUGUCUUAGUCCUAGAGACAGAAUCAUUUAUGUUACACUGCUUCGCAUUAUGUUAAUAAUUUCUAUCCUAAGUGAAGUCACAGGAAGUGUUUGUCACUAUCUCCAAUGGGACUCAAAUUUAUUUGAUGUAUGUUUAGUAUAUAUAAAGUUCAGUCAUUUCACUAGAGUUCUUAAAUUCAUAAUGGAUAACAUUUUUCUCCAAUGCUUUUUUGAAAGGAGGAAAAAAAUUGCAUGCGUGCAUAUUCAUAAAAUACUACCACAGAAGAAUUAGAAUUGUGUACAAUUUGAAAGAGUGCUGAAUUACAGGUGGGGUUAAAACAACUUCACAUUAGUGAAAUAUCGUAUGGUGGCUUUCAUUAUUGAUUCUCUGUCAACAUCACGUUAGUUCUUUUCUAAAUCAGUUCUGUGGCUUGAACUUGAAAAGACCAUGAUGCGGAGUCCACAGGUUCAUUCUAAUUGCUCCUUUUCCUGGUAGACUCCACUGUGCCAGCCUGUCACUCAUCAAGACCAUUUGUCUGUGAACAGACUUAAUUAAGCACCUCAAAUCCAAUUUCUUUGAUCUUUUACACUAUUAAGGAAACACACUCAGUCCAUCAGCUAUGGAGAGUUUUCUAAAGAAAAACCUCCUGAAAACACCCACUGGUGUUAUUCUCCUCUGUUGAAAUAGAAAGUUCAAAAACAAGCAGGUGAAUUAGGAAGGGAAAAUAAAAUAAUUGGAGAGACAACAAAAAAAUUGUUAAAUCCUAAAUAUUCAGAAGAUUUAAGGAGUGAUUUACAGCACUUAUCAACUCUUGCACUUUUUUUCUCUCUCAAGAGAGAAAAAUAUCCAGUAGAGACUUGAUUUAAAUAUAAAUGUUUAGUUACCCUCCUUUCAGAAUUUAGCAGGCAAUUGCAUUUGUUUUUGUGAAAGAGGUAUGCACUUUCAGCAUCCUUUCUCACUGCUCAAAUAUCCAGCACAUUGAUAGAAAUGAUCAGGUGGAAACGCUUUAAAAAUAAAUAACCAGAGUUUCAUGAAAAUAAUUCAAGAGCUGCUUUUGGGCUUUUUUAUUAACAUUCUUGCCAUUUACACUGUAUUGACUUAAUUAUUUUCAGAUAAUAUUUACCUGUGUCUACUCUUAUAAUUGCAUCUUAUGCAAAACUGUUUGCAUUCAUAAAAAGAUCUUAUCUCGCAGCUUUGUGACAGAGAUUAUUCUGCACUCAAUGGCUACUCACUGCACCAUCAACCAGAAACCAAAUUCAUAAUAUAGAUUGUUGUGAGUAAUAACUUUUAAGGAUUUUUUAAUAAUUAAUUUAUUAAUAAUGAUUUCAUUCCACACUGGGAAAUAAGUUAUUUGUAUUUUAGAAAAUACUGCUGCUAAAGGUGUUUUUCUGAAAGAAGAUCACUAGCUAUAGUUCAUUCUAUUGUUGUCAGGUAUUUUUCAUGCCUUGUUAGCUAAUUUCCUCUUCUUACUGUCAGUUAAAUAUUUUCCAGAAUUUCAUGGUUAUGGAAUGGAGAUCAGACUUCUGCAGCCAUAUCUGAAGAGCAGCUCCUGUGUGACAAACACUUAACUGGUUAAAGAGUGUUUUACAACUCUACGUAAGGCUGAAUUAACCAGAUAAAUAUUCAGGCCUAAACAUGGUCAUGGUACAAAGUUGAUUUGAAACAGAUAAAAAUUGCUAAUUCGAGCUUUGUGAAAACUUUACACAUAUAUUUGUAUAUAAAAUAUUUAGUUCUCUCUUUAGUUUGAGACUAUUUCUUCUAUUAACAAUUCAUUAUGGUCUAUGUAACAACAUACGUAAAUGAAGUAGAAAUGUCUUCAGUGACUACUGGGAUUGCUCAGUCUGGAGAAGAGGCUCAGAGGAGACCUUAUUGCUCUCUAUAGCUACCUGAAGGGAGGAUGUCGUGAGCUGGAGGUCGGCCUCUUCUCUCAUGUAACUAGUGAUAGGACUAGAGGGAAUGGCCUCAAGUUACUCCAGGGAAGAGUCUGGCGGGACAUUAGGAAAUACUACUUUUCUGAAAGAGUCAUCAGGUGCUGGAAUGGGCUGCCACCCAGAGAGAUGGCGGAGUCACCAGCCCCGGAGGUGUUCAAGGAAUGUUUAGACGCUGUGUUGAGGGACAUAGUUUAGUGAGAACUAUUGGUGAUAGGUGGACAGUUGGACUGGAUGAUCUUGUAGGUCUUUUCCAAUCUUAGCGAUUCUAUGAUUCCAUACUUCAUUGUAUACUACGAUUAUAACUAUCCUCAGACAAAAAAAAAUUAUGUGGCAAAUGUAGUACAUUUCCUAUGUUCCUUUUAGAAGCACUUUUUUGUCCUUCAGAAAACAAAAAUCAGAUUUAUUUUAGAGUUUACUUUUCUUAAAUUCCUAUCAGAUAAGACAGAUAUUUAUGCUAGAAAGUAGUAUAGAGUUUAUUUAAUUACUUUUCCAGUUUCUAUUCUCUAUUCUAUUUCAGUUCUCUCUCAGAAUAUAAGGUACAUUUGGAAGUUUGAAGAACUGUAGGACAAAACUUAUGAUGAAAGCUGAAAACUGGCAUUAGAUUUUAUUAAAUAAAUCAUCACUGCAAGAAGGUAGAAAUAAUCCUGAGCAAUGCUGUAAAUUCCACGUAGUCUCAAUUUGUUCUCACUUCAUUUUGCAGUAGUAUUCACAUGUGCUAGCUCAUAAGAGUUGAUAUCACUGUUAGUUAUUGCUGUGCUUUCUUCUAAUUACCACCAAAUUGUGACCACAGCAAACUACAUAUGUUUUUUAAAAUAUCACUCUUUUAGUUCUUCAUCCUUGAUGCAAACAUGAUGAGAAAUGUAUCUAUGCUUAUUAGGUGUCUUACAGCAAGGCAAAGUUACCCAUAUUAAGUCUCAGGAGAUAGGACUUUCUUCUGACCCAGAUAUUUACAAAACUGGAAGUCAAAGUACAGCAACAUGAGCAAUUGGACAAGUCAUCAGUAAGAGCUAAUGAGAAACUGUGUAAAAUGACAUAAUUCUAUUGGAUACUGAGAUGGUAUCAUUAGUAUGUAUUAAAAGACUCAGAGAGGGUUAAAUUAAGAAAUGAUGUGCCACUUUUCAUUAUCCCAAGGAAGUCCUGUAUACAGUAUAUCAUUAGAAACUAUUUACUGAAGCAAAAUAUCAAGCACACAUUGUGUAUCUCUUGAAUCAAGAUGUCAUAAAUAAAUAUUUUCAAGACAAAAUAAGCAAACUUGCACUUCAGUAGGCCAUGAAUCUGACCUCUUUAUCAUGUACUUCAAAAUAAAAUCACUGACUUCUUUUUUUUAACAGCCUUUGCUCACCAUCCACUAGAAUUUUCUGACAAAAAUCACCACAAGGGCUCUGAGUUAAGGCGGGCUGAGCUAGCUGACACAACCAACUCUGAUUUCCAUUCAGUAUUCAGCUAGUUCCAGUCACCAAAGGGUCUUAAAUUAAGGUAACAUGAGAUAAGAGGGAAGAUCCUCACUGGGAUAACUAACUAAGAGAUUGGAAACAAAGAGCUUCAAUAAAUGGUCAAUUUUCUCAGUGAAUAGAAGGCACCAGUGGUAUCCCACAGGGAUCUUCACUGGGGCCAAAGCUGCUCGACAUGCUCGGGGCUGAUCAGGAGAACAGAAUGGAGAGCAGAUUAAGUUUGCUGUUGCUACCAAGUUUUCAUGGUAAGAAAAACAGAAACUGACUGCUAAAAAGAGAGUUGAAGAAAGACUCUGUGGCACUGAGUGAUUGGGGAUAAAAUGGCAGACGACAUUCAGACUACACAAAUGUAAAGUAAUGAACUUGGCAAAAAACAGCUCAUGCUGUGCCCAGUGAUUGAUUCUGAAUUCACUGCUACAUCAGACAAAAUAACAGCCUUAUGAAAAUAUCAGUUCAGUAGCUCAGGAAUCAUUAUCAGAGGAAAAUCUCAGAAAAUGUAAUGUUUUUGUGCAAAGUCAAUGCUAUGAUCAUAUCUUGAUUGUUAUGUAUAAUUCUGGUCCUUUCAUCUAGAAAAAGCACAGAGUAGAAUUUGAAAAAAAGGUGGACAAAGAUGAUCAAAGGUAACCAAAUAACUCACACAGAAGGGUGAUCUGUAAGAGCUGGGGCUCUCAAUCUAGAAAAGAGCCAACACAGAAGCACGUAAAAAUCACAGCAGACAAAUAGGAGAAUAAGGGAUAAACGAGCUGCCUCUUGCAUUGCAACAGGAAAGCCUCAGCUGGAAAUGAGCAUGUGGAAGUUCAACAUCAAAAACCAGACUGUGCACAGCUCAGUCAAACCUCUCUAAGCCUUGGCCAGUGAACAUCACUGAGUUGUGAAGAUUAUUCAUUUUAAAGAUCAAAGUGAACAAUUGCUUGAAGAAGCUCCAACUAAGUCCAUUAACAUUCCUUUUCCUGGGAAUCUCUUUUUGUACAAAGCUCAAAAUCCAGCCAAAAUCAUCAUGCAUUCAAGUGAUCAAUGAAUGAGCACUACAUACGGCAAUGAGGUAAAUGUUUGGGAAUGACAAAAACUAGGUAAGUAAGAAAAGGUACACUGCUCUCCUAUUAGCACAUUUCACAUUAGAGAAGGAUUCCAAGCAGCUUAAAAACAGAAAAUUAUGCCACAAUUUUGCAGAAUAAGAAAAAAUCACUGCAUUGCUAAGAGAAGUUUAAGUGUUGCAUGCAAAUCUUCACGACAAUUGAUUCGUAAGUAUGUUUUACUGCUCUGUUGUUGUGUUGUUCUCACUGGCAUUAAUUUGUGUUUUCCCGGGUAACUUAGAAUAAAAAAAUGACUACAGGUAAAAGAUCAGAAGGUAAAGAUUAGAGUUCUUUUUCCAACAUGAAUCCUGCCCUUUAUCAUUUAUGGAUAAGGCGGUGUUGCUCAACAAACAGCAUGGGCAUUAGCAGGUUAAUGAGCACAUACUCAAUGUUUUUGCACACCGUCUGAUGCUUGCUGUACAAAAUGCAAACUGUGAAACACAAUGUAAUAAUUAGUUUUGUCUAUGUUAUUCUAGAGAACUCAUCACUAUGGUAUCUAAUUUAUUCACAAACAAAUUAAUUUUCACCAUGCUCCUCAGGGACAAGCAGGGCCAAAGUGCUGAAAGUAGUCAGUGUUAUAUUAGGAGGCAGCCUUCAUCCAAUAAUUUCCUUGCUUCUGAGUGCUGGAUUUUGAAGCCAUAAGCACAAGUUUCUGAUUCGAUAAACACAAGGUUUUUGAUGCUUAGAUUCUAAUGUGUGUGUGUUUAUUUUUCAAGGCAAUGAAGUUUAUAUUCAUUUCAUGAUCAUUUGCCACUUGAUUACAUGGAGUUAACUCACAGAGGAACUGCCUUUCCAAAGUUUCCCAGUCAAACUUGUAAUUAAUACUCCCCUCAUUUUGACUGAACUAUUUUGCUUUUUAAGAGAAGAGAAGGCACGAACAUCACAACUUUCUGAUCAGAAUUUUCUGCUCAACUUCAGGACGAUACAAAUACUGGUCCUAUUAAUUUGUAAUUGAUUUAGAAGAUAAUCUUCAACAUUUACAAACUGCCAGUGAAAAUAGCGUAAGGUUCUGACUGCUGCAAGUAUAUACCUAAAUUUAAAAAUCUUGCCUCUGUAGUUGAUAUUAUUGAACUUCUCUGUACUAAGUUGUCUUCAAUUGCAUCUAUAAUGUAACUUAUUCCUAAGUAUUCUUUUUGCUAAAGAAAGGAACCCACUGAAAGACAAAACACUCACAUCAUCCUUAGCACUUGAGUGCCAGCACAUUUUCCUGUGUGCCUGGUUAAUAGUAUUUCUUUCCCGGAAAAAAAAAAAAAAAAAAAAAAAAAAAAAAAAAAAAAAAAAAAAAAAAGGAAUAAAAAUAUAAAAAUAUACUAGAUUUGCAGAACGGACAGCAUGAAAUUUAGUUUUAAAGGCCUGUUUUCCAGUCCCUGUUAUAGCAACUUAACAUGAUCCUAAUUUUUUAUGUUUUUUAAAUCUAAUAAACUAAAUCCCUGAAAAUACGGUAGAACACAAAGGACUUCUAGCUUAAAGCAUCCAUUAGUCAAUCAGUUUUGCUUUGCUGGGUAAACAGUCUUACCUUUUUGAAAACAAGGAAGUUUAUGUUAUAAACUCCUCUUGAGAGAACAGUCAUUACUACAAUUACAUUUGACCUUUGUUGCUUCAAUUCCAGGGAAAAUAAUCGCAAUUCACAGAGUUAAUUAAAAAUACACAAUGCUGCAGAAAAAAAAAAAAAAAAGAAAACUGUUUGAAAAUAGACAAAAUUGUAUUCAGUAUCUAAAGCUCCAGGUGCAUCUAUUUCUUAGAUGAUUAGAUAAUUUUAAAGUAUCUCUGCUGUUGUAAUUACAGAAGUAGUUAUUAUUCUGCAGUUUCUCAGUUUUUUAGCCACUUGAAUACUAUGGUUUUAUUCUUCUGUAAAAAUCACAUCUCUUGACAAAUUAAGUGUUCCAUAGACUGGCCUGAACUGGAACUCCACUAUUUGCAUGUCACAGUUUUUCCAGAUACUUAAGUGUAUGUGCUUGUGUAUCUGCGUACACAAAUAGAUAUACAAGUUCUCUAUGUUCACCUUGAAACUUAACCGUUAGGUUUAAUGUAGACUCCAAUGCAAUGCAACACUAAAAUACUCAAUUUGCUUUCUCUUAAGAGAUUUAAAAAUAUAAGAAUAUGAAUUAUCUAUCUGCCCUAUUCGUGGAGGCUCCUGACUAUUUUGUAACUUUAUAAACAAUAAAUUCUAAAGUAACAAAUACAAGAGUUACAGCCAAAGGGUUUAGUCACAAUUGUGAUCUUGAUAACCAUGUUCACUUGAUAAACCAGAUACAGUGCUUGUCAAGGAAAUUUAUAACUGCAUACUGUGUGCACUAUAUCAAAGGGCAGUGCACUCACAGGACUCUAAUGAGGAAGUAAACAAUGCUGAGGGUCAGAUCAGUAGGCUGCAACACGCUGCUCUCCACAGAGAAAAUAAUGGCUGAAUUAAAUCCUGUAUUUGGUAGCAGCGCCACAUGAAGGAACAUAUUUUACUCUUUAGACAUAUAAGCUGUUCUAGAAAACCAUUUCCUGGCUUAUUGUCACACAGGUCUUCUAUUGAUCACAACAAAAACAACACUGUGAUUGAUCCUUCUUGCUGUAGUAUUUCCAAUAUGCUCAUAAACUAAAAGUCCAGGUACCAUUUAUGUUGAAGUUAAUGGGACGAUAUGCUUGAGCCUAGGUUACUCAAUCUAUGUACAGUUUAAUAGAACAGAGUCUAACCUCUUUAUGUCUACUGGUUUUGCUGCAAUGGAACAGAUUACUUAAAUAGUACUGCAGAUAAAAAUACUACUUGAUAAUGCUGCUUAGAUAAACCUUUCACAGUGUAUUCACAUCUCCACUGAAUCAUACUGACCAUGUAAGUUUUUACCUCCUGGCUCUAGGAGAAGAGUGGCUGUCAUAUUUAUCACCACUGUGUUCAAUGUCCAACCUUUGUUAUUUCAAGCCCUGUCUCCUUUCCUAUCAGGCUGUGCUCCAUGUCACGUAUUUAUGCUUCUCCUUGAGCUUCACUGUGAUAACUGAGAGGUUUUUAUUCCUCUUAAGAGUUUAGCUCUCCUGUUGAGACACAUCCUAGGCAAACAUGCAAACUUUUCUCUAAAUAAAACCAGUCUUUGCUUGAUCGAACUUAGCACAUUAGCAUGAAACUCAACCAGAAAUGGAAAUUCAGGAGGAAAAAGAAGGAAAAAAAAACACCAGCAAACAAACAAACGAAAAUGCAUACCGUGUAGUUAUCAAUAAAGCGACCACUUUACUCUUGUAUAUUCCUUAAAUCUGUGCUUAGUUCUCUGAACCUGAUGUACAUAUGCAGUUCCCUGCUUUUCUGCUGCAAGGAACCAUUUGACAGGGACAGCCAUGUAGUUCCUUUUAGGUGUGCAACAUGAAGUGCUGCUAGAAGGAAAGACAAACCACCUUCAUCAGCAGCGUAAGGCUAAUCUCUUUCUCAAGAUCUCCAAGCUCUGUGAUGCUUAGGAAACAAAGCUGAGAAAAUAAAGUUAAUAUUGAAAAUCUAAUUUUUUCUUGGUUAAAUAAAAGGAGGAAGUACAGAAAAUGGCAGGAAUGCCAGAUAACAUCCAACGGGUACUCAUGUGCAUACCUUCAUUAAUGCAUUCUCGGGACAUAAAAAAGCAGUAGCAAAUGCAAAUGGUAUGUACAGCACAGCCUUGAUUUGAAUGGAAAGGUGCAAGGCAGCCAUAAUUUCAUGUAAGUUCUAUGAAAUGAUAUAUGGCUUCAGGAUCUUCUGACUGACCAGUAAAAGAGAGGACUUCUAAUUUCUUUCAAUCUAUCUGUCAAAAAUCCAACCCUGUAAUUAUAUGUGGAGCAGUGGGAGUGUGGAAAUGAAAAUAAGGAAAGGAGAAGAAUUGCGCAGAGAAAAAAGAAUUGAAGCAAAUGUGGAGUGGAAUUGCUUGCAAUUUUACCAUAAGUUAAAGGAUUUUAUUCAGCAGUACACUGUAAUUUUAAUUCUGUUUUUCCUGCCAUAUACCAACUCUUGAAGAAGUUACAGAAACAAUGGGAAUUAUCGUCAUAUUCAAUUCCACCCUGAAACAAACUCCUUCACUUUUAGCUAAAUUCAGAGGUGAGAAAAAUAGACAGCUCUCCAACAUUAGUUUCGCUUUUUAUUCAUUUGUUUCAACACUUCGUGUAUUUUUUUAGUAAAAUCAUAUUUGGCCUCAACCUUACGAAUUUUAAAUAACAUUGGAGCACUGUCCCAGUUGUUUUUUACAGGCUAGAUAUGAUGAGGAUCCCAAGUAUUCCUGUUAACCAAGAAUAAACUCUAGGAAUUGGAAAACAGUCCAAGUCUUGGUCUGCAGCAUUAGGUUUAUUUGCAGAGAAAUUCAACUGUAUUAACAAUUCCUCCAAUACUCUGUGGCUCUGAUGAACAUUUCAGGGAAGGUAGUGUGUAUGUUUUCACUUUUUCUUAUACAAUGGAAACAGCAGUCCUUUCAUCAAGCACAAACUACAGUACUCAUGACAUGUGGCUAUCCCCAGCCCAAAAUACAUGUCAGGGAAGGGCAGUCAGAAAGGACAGGAGAACAUUAACAUGUGAAGAAAUCCCUCCCAAGCAGAAAAGGGCAAUGCUGGAUGUGAAUAUAUGAUUAUUAAAACCGCUGGAAUGUCAAAUGUAGAACUGACUAACUUCAGGUGAGAAAAUAACUCUUUUCUGGUAACUUCACUGUUUCAAAAAAGAGUGUGAGACUUGAGAAUCAAAUUGAAAUUAGGGUAUUUUACCAGUAAUUAAUCUUGAGCAGAUUUUUCCAAACAGUGUGAAUCUUCGGUUAAAUUCCCAACUUCUUCAGUUUGUCUUUACGCUGUUAAUCUUUUUCUUUUUUCUUAGAACACCAACUCAUGGUGGCAGUUAGGAAGGAUGCAAUAGUGAUUUAAAAAAAAACUAAAAUCCAUGUAUACGUAUACUUGGAAAGCACAUCGUCAGCUAAUAAUUUUGAUUGUAUUUUAAACUUGAUCUGAAAGCAAGGGCCAUUCCUUUGAAGUAAAGAAACUUGUUGACUACAAGACCAAUCCAGUUUGCUGACAACAAAUUUUGAGCUGAUAGUCUUUGCUCAUGACAAAAUCCAUGCACACACAAUCUGUACAUUAAAUAUUAUUUGGAAUGGAAUUUUCAAUAAAUGCAAGGAAAUUGAAAGUUCUAUAUAAAUCAGCCUACAAGGAAUAAAAUAUUUAUAAUAUACUUGUCUCUAAUAAUUCACUGGUUUAUUUUUUUAGUCAUUAUGUACAUUCUUCCCAGAAUUGGAUCUGAUACAAUACCUCUGACAAAGGGAUUCAUAGCAAAAUGGUGCUACAGCUGCUUCUUUUAAACUCACCUAAUUAUAAGCUCCAGAUGUCUUUCCUUUCUGGAGACUCAAAGACAACUCUAAUUUUAUUCACACAUACUGCUUGUCUAGGAUCAGGCUACACUGCAAUUCUCUUCUACCUAGAAAACAGAGCUUUGUUUACAUUUGCACCAUUGUACGUUCUUUUGAUUUUUCUAGUUUUUUCUGAUAUGCAUAAAAAUACUGUAUAUUCAUGCUAUGAAUAUAAAUAUAUUCAGAACGGCUGCAAAACACCACAAAGAAUUAUUGUCUUAAAGCUGGCACUGAUUUCAAGCAUAUAGAACACUCACUACUAACAACCAGCAUUGCUAAGGAUCAGGGGUAAAUUGACCUGAUAAACAUCCCAAAUGCAUCACUUAAUUUCAGCAUCACACUUGAGUGGGAAAAUGCAUUCGUUCUUCUACAACAAAACUACUUUUGGACAAUGUAUAGGAAAAGUUAAUUCCAUAAACAACAUGCAAACUGCUUUUUUUUUUUUUUUUCAUCUUAAUUUAGAUGAGCUUAUUUUACAUGCAAAAAAAAAAAAGAAUGCAGCUUUCACUAAAACGUCAAUAUACAGCAUGUUCUUUGCUGACAACCAAUGGAAUAGUCCAUACAUCAAAUGUAUGGACUGGCUCUUCUCCUUCCUCGAUUUCAGUUAGUUCCACAAAGACAAAAAUGUUG
RNAcentral lists this long non-coding RNA (16518 nucleotides) under Gallus gallus (chicken). RNAcentral describes it as "lncRNA (ENSGALG00010016272.1)". The record is from RNAcentral. Lineage: Eukaryota; Metazoa; Chordata; Aves; Galliformes; Phasianidae.